AACGGCAUCUUUAAUCGAACUUUGGCCUUGAUAUCCCAAAGGACGAAUGGUCAUAAAAGGCAAUCGAGGCAUUAUUAGCCUUUCUUCAAUAGGGGUUUUUUAAACAAUCUGGUAUAUCCGAAAAGUCUAGACCAGUGUUUCCCAAAGUGGGCGAUAACGCCCCCUUGUGGGCGCUGCAGGUGUCAAGGGGGGCGGUAAGAGACCCAGAAAGAAAAUGGGGGCGUUGUGUAGAGGCCUGGGGGGUUAUUUGUAAUUCUAUUUAGCUAGGAGGCCUCUUAUAGCCCUGACAGACGACAGCGCUAAGUUACAUUAGCGGGCUUAAGUUACAUUUAUUUGCGCAUUUGACCCAUGUCAAUGCAAAUUUGUAAUGCACAAGAAUUUCGCGCAUUUACCAAAUUUUAGUAGGCAACAUUGGUUAAAAAUGACAGAUUUUUGCUAUUGUGAAUGGUGAUUGACAGAAGGAAGAUGAUAAAAACGUAAGCAAGAGAUUCAAAGAAAGCGCUAAAGAUGGAGGUGAACAAACAAAGAACAAUGUGGACAAAUAGUGAUGAAGUUGUGUUAAUAGAUUUGUGGCGGGAACGAGCCGGAGACUUGCGGCGGGCUAAACGUAAUUUGCACAUUUACGCAGACAUAUCUGUCCAAAUGGCGCACAAAUUUACUGCAAAAGAAGUGCAUGUUAACAUACGGAAUCUUACACAAAAAUAUAGACGAAAAGAAAAAAGUUGGGCCCUCGGGGGGCAGC
Bactrocera neohumeralis is the source of this 742-nucleotide long non-coding RNA. RefSeq lists it as uncharacterized. Lineage: Eukaryota; Metazoa; Arthropoda; Insecta; Diptera; Tephritidae. The transcript has 3 exons. The record is from RefSeq and is a predicted model, not a curated record.